RNAcentral lists this non-coding RNA (30 nucleotides) under Rattus norvegicus (Norway rat). Lineage: Eukaryota; Metazoa; Chordata; Mammalia; Rodentia; Muridae. The record is from RNAcentral.
UAAAAAGUUCUAUGAAGAGCACUGAGAGCA